RNAcentral lists this unclassified non-coding RNA (379 nucleotides) under uncultured Pseudobdellovibrionaceae bacterium. RNAcentral describes it as "uncultured Bdellovibrionaceae bacterium contains 16S-23S intergenic spacer region". The record is from RNAcentral. Lineage: Bacteria; Pseudomonadati; Bdellovibrionota; Bdellovibrionia; Bdellovibrionales; Pseudobdellovibrionaceae.
UCCAGCUUAACGCUGGCAGUCUCUCUAGAGUGCCCAACUUAAUGAUGGCAACAAGAGACGUGGGUUGCGCUCGUUACGGGACUUAACCCAACAUCUCACGACACGAGCUGACGACAGCCAUGCAGCACCUGUCUCUCGGUCUCCUUGCGGAGAAAACCGACUUUCGCCGGCGGUCCGAGGAUGUCAAGACUAGGAUAAGGUUCUUCGCGUUGCGUCGAAUUGAACCACAUGCUCCACUGCUUGUGCGGGUCCCCGUCAAUUUCUUUGAGUUUUAAUCUUGCGACCGUACUCCCCAGGCGGGAUGCUUAACGCGUUAGCUUCGUCACUGAAAGGGUUUUACCUCCAACGACAAGCAUCCAUGGUUUACGGCGUGGACUAC